RNAcentral lists this ribosomal RNA (466 nucleotides) under uncultured Hydrogenophaga sp. Its description in RNAcentral is "bacterial SSU rRNA". It matches the Rfam family "Bacterial small subunit ribosomal RNA", at positions 337 to 795 of the family's 1533-position model. The record is from RNAcentral. Lineage: Bacteria; Pseudomonadati; Pseudomonadota; Betaproteobacteria; Burkholderiales; Comamonadaceae.
CCCUACGGGCGGCUGCAGUGGGGAAUUUUGGACAAUGGGCGCAAGCCUGAUCCAGCAAUGCCGCGUGCAGGAAGAAGGCCUUCGGGUUGCAAACUGCUUUUGUACGGAACGAAACGGUCCUGGUUAAUACCUGGGGCUAAUGACGGUACCGUAAGAAUAAGCACCGGCUAACUACGUGCCAGCAGCCGCGGUAAUACGUAGGGUGCAAGCGUUAAUCGGAAUUACUGGGCGUAAAGCGUGCGCAGGCGGUUUUGUAAGACAGGCGUGAAAUCCCCGGGCUCAACCUGGGAAUUGCGCUUGUGACUGCAAGGCUGGAGUGCGGCAGAGGGGGAUGGAAUUCCGCGUGUAGCAGUGAAAUGCGUAGAUAUGCGGAGGAACACCGAUGGCGAAGGCAAUCCCCUGGGCCUGCACUGACGCUCAUGCACGAAAGCGUGGGGAGCAAACAGGAUUAGAUACCCCGGUAGUC